GCCUGGCUGGCAGGGCAGACUGGCUGGUGGGGGGAGCCUGGCUGGGGGGCGGGUGUGCACCUGUGAACUCUGCCUGGCGCCUUGGCUGUGAGCUUGUUCACAACCUGCCAUCCUGUGGAUGCUCUUCCCGUGACAGCAAAGCGGAAGCCACGGCUCAGACAGCCACGUGUCCUCCUCCUCAGCCCGGGGCCGUUGGCACCACGCUGCCUGGCGUGAGGUGCUUGGGGACCUGCUGCGCUCCCUCCUCUGGAGGCACCCCCCCCCCCAAGAAGUGCUCAGCUCUACCCCUCUCCCCUGUGCGGAGGGGCACAGGGGCACCUUCCUUCAGUCCCUCUGGGACUUGUGCUCCCCCUCCUCCCCGAUCUCUCUGGCUGUUAAUUUCAUAAAGAGGCCAUUGUUCAUCUAGAUGGUCUUUACAGAAGCAUGUCCCCAGCGAGUGGAAACAUUUAGUUAAUAAUUUAACACUGUGCUGUCUGCUGAAUUUUCAGGCCCCCAAAUACGAUCGAUGAGGCUUACAAUUGGCUUAUUGAGUUUCCCAAAGACACAGACGAGCCGAGAAGGGACGGCCGGGGAGUGGGGGAGGGGAGCGCCGUAGAGGGAAACAAAUGUAGAUGGUAUUGAUGCAGGUUGUCAAAAAUAAUUGUUUUAUUUUCCCUGGGAAUGUUCCAGACACCCCCGGACGCACUGAUCCGUGACGCUGGCUCUCCAGAAGCAGGAGUUUGGCAUUUAUCGGCAUUUUGCUGCCCCCUCCUGAGAUGUUCAUCAGGUAAAUGCUUGCACUCAUUAUGUCACAGCCUAUCCCCAAAUUGUUUCGGGGGGAGGGAGGGAAGGAGAGACAAUGGCCCACAGUCCUUUCUGCUGGCCUCCCGAGGGGUGGGUGGGGGCUUGGAGGGCUGGCCCCGGAGGGUCAGAGGUAUCCGAGUCCGUGCGGGAUGUCGGGGAUGCUCUGGGUUCGGAACGUCCACAGCCAGGAGAAACAAGGCAGAAUGGGGCCCGGCCAGCGUGGGCAGGACCCCAGUAAGAACUUGGCUGGUGCUGUCGAGGACCCGCGGCCCCUUUUCCAGAAGAAGGUGGGGAUGGAACUCUAUCGUGAGGACGUCAGGUGGCAGAUUCCAGACGGCAGAUUUGUAGGUGGACCAGAUGACCCAGCAGGACCACCCUAAGUAACAUCCCGAACACCCGAGGUUCGAACAGAGAUUUGGACACAAGUGUUCACAGCAGCACGAUUCACAACAACCGAGAUGUGGAAACAGCCCGAAUGUCCAUCAACAGAGGACUCAACGAGCAAAAUGCCGUCCAUCCACACAACGGGACGUUAUUCAGUCAUAAAAAGGAACGCGUUACCGACACCUGCCGCGUCGUGGACAAACCCCCAAAACGCUAGGAGGAAGGACGGCAGACACGAAGGGCCGCGUGCCCGGAAUGGGGGGACACAGAGACGCAGAAAGCAGAUGUGCGGUUGCCAGGGGUGCUGCCAGGCACGGGUUCUGGAAGGGGGUGACGGCUGCACAGUGCUGGGGACGCCACCGAACUGCACCCUUGAAGAUGGUUACGACGGCGAGUUUAUGUUAUGUAUCUUGCCACACAAAACAAAAGACAAAAAAAACCCAAAAAAACCCCAAAAAGCCAGAAUAAAGCAAGCCGGGCCUCCCCACGAGCCUCAGGACCUGA
Molecule: long non-coding RNA, 1671 nt
Organism: Leopardus geoffroyi (Geoffroy's cat)
Lineage: Eukaryota; Metazoa; Chordata; Mammalia; Carnivora; Felidae
Exons: 2
Source: RefSeq, a predicted model, not a curated record